CCCUGGGGGGUCGGCCCCAAGGGUGGAGCCAUGGGUUUUAUUUGGAAGCACCGGAAAAAACCUUUACCAGUUCUUGACUUCUUUGACCAACCCCUGGAGAAUGGGGUUUUCUUUGGGAACCGAAUUGACCAGUUGUGCAAGGUUGGUCUUCAGUUGGGUUCUGAGAAGGUGGGGUUAAUUCCGGCAAGAAGCGCAACCUUUGUUCUUAUUUGCCUUCAUUAGGUGGGCCAUUCUAGGUGGCUUGCGGUGGCCAACCGGAAGGAAGUGGGGAAGGAGGUCAAUUCUUCAUGCCCUAAGACCUUGGGCUCCCCACUGGUUCCAUUGGCCGUUCCAAGAAGUGCCAGGACCGCGAGUGGAAGCUAUCUUCUUAAACCGGUCUUCAUUUCGGAUGUUAGCCGGCAAUCGGCUUCCAGGAAGCGGGAUUGGUUGGUAUUGGCGAUUCACCAGGCGCCGGGGAUUAGGUUCCCGGCCUUGGUCCACACGGCCGGCCCCACCAGGGGAGUUUAAACACCGGAAGCGGUCGGGGAACCCUUUGGAGCCAGCCGCCUAAGGGGGACAGAGUAGAGGGUGAAGCAGAACAAUCAGGAGCACAGCCG
This 596-nucleotide ribosomal RNA is filed under the name Bacillus sp. JSM01. Its description in RNAcentral is "bacterial SSU rRNA". It matches the Rfam family "Bacterial small subunit ribosomal RNA", at positions 903 to 1507 of the family's 1533-position model. The record is from RNAcentral. Lineage: Bacteria; Bacillati; Bacillota; Bacilli; Caryophanales; Bacillaceae.